Molecule: long non-coding RNA, 260 nt
Filed under: Mytilus galloprovincialis (Mediterranean mussel)
Lineage: Eukaryota; Metazoa; Mollusca; Bivalvia; Mytilida; Mytilidae
Source: RNAcentral
UUUUGUUUAUGAGGUCUUUCCACCUUUCCGUGGAAAGACCUAUUGAUUUUGUUCUGAUUAUUAUUAGGUCUUUCCACCUUUCCGUGGAAAGACCUAUUGAAUUUGUUCUGAUUAUUAUUAUUAGGUCUUUCCACCUUUCCGUGGAAAGACCUAUUGAAUUUGUUCUGAUUAUUAUUAUUAGGUCUUUCCACUUUUCCGUGGAAAGACCUAUUGAUUUUGUUCUGAUUAUUAUUAUUUUUCUUCUUCCGCCUAAAUUUUUU